GGCUUAGAGUUUGAUCAUGGCUCAGGAUGAACGCUGGCGACAGGCUUAACACAUGCAAGUCGAGGGGCACCAUGAGGUAGCAGUACCUUGAUGGCGACCGGCCCCCGGGUGAGUAACGCGUAUGCAACCUGCCAUAUACCGGGGUAUAUCCCAUGGAAACGUGGAUUAACUCCCCAUAGUACUUUUAUCCUGCCUGGGAUGGGAGUUAAAUGUUCAAGGUAUGUGAUGGGCAUGCGUCCUAUUAGUUAGUUGGCGGGGUAACAGCCCACCAAGACGAUGAUAGGUAGGGGUUCUGACAGGAAGGUCCCCCACAUUGGAACUGAAACACGGUCCAAACUCCUACGGGAGGCAGCAGUGAGGAAUAUUGGUCAAUGGACGAGAGUCUGAACCAGCCAAGUCGCGGGAGGGAACACUGCCCUAUGGAUUGUAAACCUCCUUUAUAAGGGAAGAAUAAGUUCUACGUGUAAAAUGAUGCCUGUACCUUAUGAAUAACCAUCGGCUAACUCCGUGCCAACGGCCGCGGUAAUACGGAGGAUGCGAGCGUUAUCCGGAUUUAUAGGGUUUAAAGGAUGCCUAAACUGUUUAUUCACUUAGUGGUCAUAUGUGUGAGCUAAAACUCAGUACCGCCAUUAAUACUGGUAAACUGGAGUUCAUACGAGGUAGGCGGAAUAAGUUAAGUAGCGGUGAAAUGCAUAGAUAUAACUUAGAACUCUGAUAGCGAAGGCAUCUUACCAGACUGAAACUGACGCUGAUGCACGAGAGCGUGCGUAGCGAACACGAUUAGAUACCCUGGUAGUUCACGUCGCUAAACGAUGCUCACUGGUUCUGUGCGAUAUAUAGUACGUGGAUGAGCGACAGUAUUAAGUGAGCCA
Molecule: ribosomal RNA, 872 nt
Filed under: uncultured organism
Description: bacterial SSU rRNA
Rfam family: Bacterial small subunit ribosomal RNA
Source: RNAcentral